CGGGGCGUGCAGGGGGCCGCGCAGGGCCGGAGCCUGUGCCUGCGCCUGCGCCUGCGCCGGGUUUGUCCGGUACGGCUGUGCCGCUCGGUGUGCACCGCUCCUCGGGACAGCGUGUGCCGGGGCCCUCCUCGGGAAAUAUUUCUUCCUUCUAUGGAAACCAACGAGCACCCGGGCCUGCACUCUUGAUAUAAAUACCCGGUGAUGACCGACUUAUUGCGGGCGACCGGGCGACGAAUCCACCGUUGGGACAGCACUGCCGGUGUCAGGCCGUUCUUCCUAGAAAGAAAGAAAGAAAAAAAAUCUAAAAUCUUUAAGAUAUGUGUGGGAUCUGUUGAGUCACGGC
This 343-nucleotide long non-coding RNA is filed under the name Gallus gallus (chicken). Lineage: Eukaryota; Metazoa; Chordata; Aves; Galliformes; Phasianidae. The record is from RNAcentral.